GUCAUUUACACAUUGACCAUAAAUGUAUAUAAAUAAAGCAACAAAUUGUGCGGUUGUUUAUUGUUCAAAGUUGAAGCGUGUCGUCAUGAGGUCCAAGGUUUACUUCGCGUUCCUGCUUCUCAUUUUAGGAGUAGCUUUUACUGCUGCAAAUUCUAUCAGAGCGAAUAUUAAAUGUCCAGGUGGGAGGGAACCAACGCUCUCGGGAAGAUGUCCAUUUGAACCAGAAAGCUUUGACGACGAUUACUACUAAGGGAUGAAAAUCACACAAGUAAGACACAUGGUACCUAUCCGCUGAAGACAACGGCAGUGAAACUAUAGAAUAACUUGUAAACAUGUGUCAUUACCAAAUUGUCAAUAAAAAGUUAUGUCGCAGUAAAA
Long non-coding RNA from Helicoverpa zea (corn earworm), 378 nucleotides. RefSeq lists it as uncharacterized. The transcript is spliced from 2 exons. The record is from RefSeq and is a predicted model, not a curated record. Lineage: Eukaryota; Metazoa; Arthropoda; Insecta; Lepidoptera; Noctuidae.